Molecule: ribosomal RNA, 327 nt
Filed under: Phylladiorhynchus orpheus
Lineage: Eukaryota; Metazoa; Arthropoda; Malacostraca; Decapoda; Galatheidae
Description: partial large subunit ribosomal RNA
Rfam family: Eukaryotic large subunit ribosomal RNA
Source: RNAcentral
CGAAAGAUGGUGAACUAUUCCUGGUCAGGAUGAAGCCAGAGGAAACUCUGGUGGAGGUCCGCAGCAAUUCUGACGUGCAAAUCGAUUGUCAGAGCUGGGUAUAGGGGCGAAAGACUAAUCGAACCAUCUAGUAGCUGGUUCCCUCCGAAGUUUCCCUCAGGAAAGCUGGUGCUCACUGAAUGAAUUUCAUCCGGUAAAGCGAAUGAUUAGAGGAGUUGUGUACUAACGUAACGCAACCUAUUCUCAAACUUUAAAUGGGUGAGAUGCCAAGCUUGCUUUAACGAGUGAAGCUUGGCGAAAAAUCAGAGUACCAAGUGGGCCAAUUUU